Molecule: ribosomal RNA, 408 nt
Filed under: Verrucomicrobiota bacterium
Lineage: Bacteria; Pseudomonadati; Verrucomicrobiota
Description: Verrucomicrobia bacterium partial 16S ribosomal RNA
Rfam family: Bacterial small subunit ribosomal RNA
Source: RNAcentral
UGGGGAAUAUUGCACAAUGGGCGGAAGCCUGAUGCAGCGACGCCGCGUGAGGGAUGACGGCCUUCGGGUUGUAAACCUCUUUCAGUAGGGACGAAGCGUAAGUGACGGUACCUGCAGAAGAAGCACCGGCUAACUACGUGCCAGCAGCCGCGGUAAUACGUAGGGGGCUAGCGUUGUCCGGAAUCACUGGGCGUAAAGGGUUCGCAGGCGGCAAUGCAAGUCAGAUGUAAAAGGCAAAGGCUCAACCUUUGUAAGCAUCUGAAACUGUAUAGCUUGAGAAGUGUAGAGGCAAGUGGAAUUUUUAGUGUAGCGGUGAAAUGCGUAGAUAUUAAAAAGAAUACCGGUGGCGAAGGCGACUUGCUGGGCACAAUCUGACGCUGAGGAACGAAAGCGUGGGGAGCAAACAGG